This 82-nucleotide transfer RNA is filed under the name Pontibacter populi. RNAcentral's name for it is "tRNA-Leu". It matches the Rfam family "tRNA". From Rfam's summary of the family: Transfer RNA (tRNA) molecules are approximately 80 nucleotides in length. Their secondary structure includes four short double-helical elements and three loops (D, anti-codon, and T loops). RNAcentral also lists the same sequence under 3 other names. Lineage: Bacteria; Pseudomonadati; Bacteroidota; Cytophagia; Cytophagales; Hymenobacteraceae. The record is from RNAcentral.
GCCCAGAUGGCGGAAUUGGUAGACGCGUUGGUCUCAAACACCAAUAACUUCGGUUGUGCCGGUUCGACCCCGGCUCUGGGUA